AAGAAGCAGCUUCUCAGCCUUUUUCUUCACCUUUGUUUUCCGCCACCAAGCUUCUCCGCUCACUUGACUCCACCAACAGCCACGCGCCGCCGCCUGAAAUUUUACACGCGUAUCGUAUCUUAUGGAGAAAAUAUUGGAAAAUAUUCCACCUCUUCAAUGACAGCUAAGCGGGGUUAAGUUCAUAUGGCUAGUUGUCUCGACACAAAUUUUUCGGAAUGUUCUUUGACUGGAAAAUUAAUAUCUGAGUGCUCGAAACUUUUUUUGGGAAUUUCCUGAAGAGAAUUUAUUCACCUCUUCAAUGACAUAUAAGCAGGGUUAAGUUCCUCCAGCCAAAAGACUGCACCUGC
Molecule: non-coding RNA, 347 nt
Organism: Erythranthe guttata (spotted monkey flower)
Lineage: Eukaryota; Viridiplantae; Streptophyta; Magnoliopsida; Lamiales; Phrymaceae
Source: RefSeq, a predicted model, not a curated record